GCCACGGUGGUCUAGCGGUUAGAACGCUGGCCUUGUAAUCCUGGGGCCACGGGUUCGAUUCCCGGCGGUGCCU
Molecule: transfer RNA, 73 nt
Filed under: Zootermopsis nevadensis
Lineage: Eukaryota; Metazoa; Arthropoda; Insecta; Blattodea; Termopsidae
Rfam family: tRNA
About the family: Transfer RNA (tRNA) molecules are approximately 80 nucleotides in length. Their secondary structure includes four short double-helical elements and three loops (D, anti-codon, and T loops).
Source: Rfam by way of RNAcentral